This 102-nucleotide non-coding RNA is filed under the name Kutzneria viridogrisea DSM 43870. Its description in RNAcentral is "Kutzneria albida DSM 43870 Glycine riboswitch aptamer". It matches the Rfam family "Glycine riboswitch aptamer". From Rfam's summary of the family: This family represents the bacterial glycine riboswitch. Glycine riboswitches usually consist of two metabolite-binding aptamers domains with similar structures in tandem. The record is from Rfam by way of RNAcentral. Lineage: Bacteria; Bacillati; Actinomycetota; Actinomycetes; Pseudonocardiales; Pseudonocardiaceae.
AAACCCCGUGCGGGAGAGUUCGGGCCGGUAGCCAGCCGGUUCGGCGCCGAAGGAGCAACCCCUCCCCGGAACCUCUCAGGCGGCCAGGACCGCACGGGUGAG